AGUCAAGUUAAAAGCAAAAACGUCUCGCGAUCGCAAGCCACGCCACCACAAAAGCGGCCGGAAAUCAGCUGGAGGUCAAAUAGAAGGCGUCGCAUCAACGAAUUCAACCUACCAGCAUCUGGAAGCAGAGCUACAUCACAGCAACAAGCAGUGCUGGCCACAUCAUCAGUCGCUAAGGACGAACAAAGGGUUUGGUAGCAGCGGUUUCAUGUCCGACUGCGACACGGCACGGCUGCCGCGUCAUCACCGAAUCGAACUUCUACGCCAACAUUUUUGGAGACGCUUUAAUAAGGAAUAUAUUUCUCAGUUGCACCAACGAACGCGCUGGCAACGCUCACGCGGCGCGCUCACAGAGGGCUCAUUGGUCAUCGUGAAAGAUGAGGCGCUACCGGUGGCUCAGUGGCCAUUGGGACGUAUCGUGAAGCUGUAUCCGGGACAUGACGGAGAAGCUCGAGUGGCGGACAUCAAAGUAAAGACCGGGACAAUCAGACGGGCCUUUCAUAAAAUAUGCCCAUUACUGGAUGAACCAUCGGACUGAUCAUGAAAUAUCAUACAUCAUCAUCACCUGGGCUGGCCUUUCCUUGGUCGCCCGGGAAUAUGUUAACGCACACGUUAACACGCACGCACAUGCAGACACACAUGCAUCUCAAGCAGAGGGGAGCGGGCGGCGUGGCGGGGCAGCGACGGCUCGCGCGCCCUCCAAACACACCUUACGACAACGCGAGCAAGAACGGACGGGAUUGCGAAUUUAAUUAGUGCUAAUAGCCUACUUAAGAAAACCUAUUAAACCAAGAAAUACA
Molecule: unclassified non-coding RNA, 800 nt
Filed under: Helicoverpa zea (corn earworm)
Lineage: Eukaryota; Metazoa; Arthropoda; Insecta; Lepidoptera; Noctuidae
Description: uncharacterized LOC124645260, transcript variant X7
Source: RNAcentral